RNAcentral lists this RNase P RNA (378 nucleotides) under Candidatus Zixiibacteriota bacterium. RNAcentral describes it as "candidate division Zixibacteria bacterium RNase P RNA component class A". It matches the Rfam family "Bacterial RNase P class A". Rfam says of the family: Ribonuclease P (RNase P) is a ubiquitous endoribonuclease, found in archaea, bacteria and eukarya as well as chloroplasts and mitochondria. Its best characterised activity is the generation of mature 5'-ends of tRNAs by cleaving the 5'-leader elements of precursor-tRNAs. Lineage: Bacteria; Pseudomonadati; Candidatus Zixiibacteriota. The record is from RNAcentral.
AAAGAGGAGAAAACGGUCGCGCUUUAUGAUUGUAUGAAGUGAGGAAAGUCCGAGCUCCGAAGAGCCGUGGUGCCCGGUAACACCGGGGCGGAGAGAUCCGACGGAAAGUGCCACAGAAAAUAUACAGCCUACCUGAACGCCUGGGCGUUCAGCGGUAAUGGUGAAAACGAGGUGUAAGAGACCCCGCCCGGAUCAGGUAACUGGUCCGUGAGGUAAACCCCAUCCGGAGCAAGGCCAAAUAGGGAAAGAGGGGUUGGCUCGCCCCGAUCGAUUUCCGGGUAGGCCGCACAGAACCGGCAGGCAACUGCUGUGUCAAGAUAAAUGACCGUGUCUGUCAUCCAUGACAGAACAGAACUCGGCUUAUUCUGCUCUUUCUGA